Molecule: small RNA, 100 nt
Filed under: Pan troglodytes (chimpanzee)
Lineage: Eukaryota; Metazoa; Chordata; Mammalia; Primates; Hominidae
Also listed under: 1 other name
Description: processed transcript
Source: RNAcentral
UGACUCCCUGCUUCUAAAUGAUCUGCUAUCAUAAGGAUGAGGAAGAAGAGUCCAGUAGGCAGGAAACCGAAGAGAAAAUACUCCUGGAUCCAAAUAGUGA